Molecule: long non-coding RNA, 350 nt
Filed under: Setaria italica (foxtail millet)
Lineage: Eukaryota; Viridiplantae; Streptophyta; Magnoliopsida; Poales; Poaceae
Description: long non-coding RNA (SITA_LNC006926)
Source: RNAcentral
UUGCCUCCAAAUCCACUGCCUCCUUCACCGGAUGCGAGCCCAAGGGAAUGAGCUUGCAUCCUCUGCUCGUGUUGCGGUGGAUGCGGUGGUGACUGCUGUGGGAAGGUAGGCCGCACUCGAGUCUCGGGCCAGAUCCUCUGUAGUGGUGGCUGCCUAAGUAGUGGAAAAGGCCCAUGCUCGCGUGGCCUUGGAGCGGGACCUCGACAUCCAACACCUUCAACCAUGAAUUUCGUCACCGUGGUGGUGAUGGCAAUGGGAUGGCCGGUGUGGUGGCAGUGGUGUAAUCCGGCAAUGUAAAUGCCAGGUUUUUUAAUAAACGAAUUGUCCUUUUACUUAGUUUAGGCUUUCUC